RNAcentral lists this ribosomal RNA (244 nucleotides) under uncultured bacterium. RNAcentral describes it as "partial small subunit ribosomal RNA". It matches the Rfam family "Bacterial small subunit ribosomal RNA", at positions 26 to 285 of the family's 1533-position model. The record is from RNAcentral.
AGAAUCAACGCUGGCGGCGUGCCUAACACAUGCAAGUCGCACGAGAAAGUGGAGCAAUCCACGAGUAAAGUGGCGCACGGGUGAGUAACACGUGACUAACCUACCCUUGAGUGGGGGAUAACCUAGAGAAAUCUGGGCUAAUACCGCAUAAUACCUUCGGGUCAAAGGAGCAAUUCGCUUAAGGAGGGGUCGCGGCCGAUUAGUUAGUUGGCGGGGUAAUGGCCCACCAAGACUGUGAUCGGUA